AGUUUUGCGCAGUGGCAGUAUCGUAGCCAAUGAGGUUUAUCCGAGACAGAAUUAUUGCUAAUUGAAAACUUUUUCCAAAGCGAGAUGGGGUAGCUAUAUUAAUUUCACACAAAGCAGACUCUCAAUCAGGGAAUGUCAUCAGGGAU
This 146-nucleotide small nuclear RNA is filed under the name Carlito syrichta (Philippine tarsier). Its description in RNAcentral is "U4 spliceosomal RNA (ENSTSYG00000020667.2)". The stretch from base 1 to 122 matches the Rfam family "U4 spliceosomal RNA". From Rfam's summary of the family: U4 small nuclear RNA (U4 snRNA) is a component of the major U2-dependent spliceosome. The structure of U4 snRNA from yeast and human has been reported. The record is from RNAcentral. Lineage: Eukaryota; Metazoa; Chordata; Mammalia; Primates; Tarsiidae.